AUGCCCGCCUCCCUCCUCCCCCCGACCUUCCUCCCCCACCACCGCCAGCGCCAGCGACUCCGCCUCCCCGUACCCAGCUGCACCACCUCCUCGGUCUCCGUCUCCGUCUCCGCCAGCCGCUACGACUUCGAGCCGCUGCUCGCCUACCUCUCCGACCCCUCCACCGUCGCCUCGCUCACCUCGCCGUCCCCUCCGCCCAUCGUGCCAGCCCCCGAGCGCCGCCUCGCCGCGUCCUACUCCGCCGUGCCGUCGCACGAGUGGCACGCUCUGCUCCGGGGCCUCGCCGCCAGCGACGCGUCCCUGCCGCUCGCCUUCGCGCUGCUCCCCUUCCUCCAGCGCCACCGCCUCUGCUUCCCGCUCGACCUGCUCCUCUCCUCGUUCAUCCACUCGCUCUCCGUCUCCGGCCGCCUGCUCCCGCACUCGCUGCUGCUCUCCUUCCCGCCCUCCCUCUCCGACCCACCCUCCCCGCUGCUGCUCAACUCCCUCCUCGCCGCCUCCGCCGCGGCCUCCCGCCCCGCCAUCGCGCUGCGGCUCCUCGCACUCAUCCGCGAGCACAACUUCCUCCCGGACCUCGCCUCCUACUCGCAUCUCCUCGCCUCGCUGCUCAACACGCGGGACCCGCCCGACGCCGCCAUCCUCGAGCGCCUCCUCGGUGACCUCAGGGAGUCGCGCCUCGAGCCAGACGCGCCGCUCUUCUCCGACCUCAUCUCCGCCUUCGCGCGGGCCGCGCUCCCGGACGCAGCGCUCGAGCUCCUCGCCUCCGCGCAGGCCAUCGGGCUCACGCCACGCUCCAAUGCCGUCACCGCGCUCAUCUCCGCGCUCGGCAUCGCCGGUCGCGUGCCCGAGGCUGAAGCGCUGUUCUUGGAAUUCUUCCUUGCCGGAGAAAUCAAACCGAGGACACGCGCGUACAACGCGCUGCUCAAAGGGUAUGUCAAAAUUGGGUCGCUCAAGAACGCUGAGCACGUGCUCGAUGAAAUGUCAGAGUGCGGGGUUGCGCCCGAUGAGGCCACUUACAGCUUGCUCGUGGACGCGUACACGAGGGCUGGAAGAUGGGAGAGUGCAAGGAUACUGCUCAAGGAGAUGGAAGCCGAUGGAGUUAAACCGAGCUCGUAUGUGUUCAGCCGGAUCCUUGCGGGGUUCCGUGAUAGGGGGGAUUGGCAGAAGGCAUUUGCGGUGCUACGUGAGAUGCACGCAAGCGGUGUGCAGCCGGAUCGGCAUUUCUACAAUGUCAUGAUAGAUACAUUUGGGAAGUACAAUUGCCUUGGGCACGCCAUGGAUGUGUUUAACCGGAUGCGUGAAGAAGGGAUUGAACCGGAUGUUGUCACAUGGAACACACUUAUUGAUGCGCAUUGUAAGGGAGGGCGGCAUGAUCGCGCCAUGGAGCUGUUUAAGGAGAUGCGUGAAAGUAACUGCCCACCAGGAACGACCACAUAUAACAUCAUGAUCAAUUUGCUUGGUGAACAAGAGCGAUGGGUGGGGGUGGAAACAAUGAUGUCAGAGAUGAAGGAACAGGGCUUGGUUCCCAACAUUAUCACCUACACUACACUUGUGGAUGUGUAUGGGAGGUCUGGUAGGUACAAGGAGGCAAUUGAUUGCAUUGAGGCGAUGAAAGCUGACGGACUGAAGCCAUCGCCCACCAUGUACCAUGCCCUUGUCAAUGCAUAUGCCCAAAGGGGUUUGGCAGACCAUGCGUUAAAUGUAGUCAAGGCCAUGAGAGCGGAUGGACUUGAGGCUAGCACGGUAGUGCUCAACUCAUUGAUCAACGCCUUUGGUGAGGAUAGAAGGGUUGUUGAAGCAUUCUCUGUGCUUCAAUUCAUGAAGGAAAAUGAUUUUAAGCCUGACGUUAUUACAUACACGACACUAAUGAAAGCUCUAAUCCGUGUUGAGCAGUUCGACAAGGUUCCAGUCAUCUAUGAAGAAAUGAUUACAUCAGGAUGUGCCCCUGACCGCAAAGCUAGAGCAAUGCUGCGUUCAGCUUUAAGAUAUAUGAAACACACGAGGGUUGCGUAG
Molecule: ribosomal RNA, 2010 nt
Filed under: Triticum aestivum (bread wheat)
Lineage: Eukaryota; Viridiplantae; Streptophyta; Magnoliopsida; Poales; Poaceae
Description: partial small subunit ribosomal RNA
Source: RNAcentral